GACUACCGGGGUAUCUAAUCCCAUUCGCUACCCACGCUUUCGUGCAUUAAUGUCAGGAGUGUUCCAGUCAACCGCCUUCGCAUCUGGUGUUCUUGCCAAUAUUAACACAUUUUACCGUUACACUGGCAAUUCCGUUGACCUCUCCCACCCUCUAGUCUGCCAGUUUCCGUGGCAGCCUUAAUGUUGAGCAUUAAGAUUUAACCACAAAUUUAACAGACCAUCUGCGCACGCUUUACGCCCAAUAAAUCCGGAUAACGCUCGGAGUCUCUGUAUUACCGCUGCUGCUGGCACAGAGUUAGCAACUCCUUAUUCCUAAGGUACCGUCAUAAGUUCGUCCCCUAGAAAAGACCUUUACAUCCCGAAAGACUUAAUCAGUCACGCGGCAUCGCUCCUUCAGGCUUUCGCCCAUUGAGGAAUAUUCUCGACUGCAGCCCCCCGUAGG
This 442-nucleotide ribosomal RNA is filed under the name uncultured bacterium. RNAcentral's name for it is "partial 16S ribosomal RNA". The record is from RNAcentral.